UGGGGAAUAUUGGGCAAUGGGCGAAAGCCUGACCCAGCGACGCCGCGUGGGUGAUGAAGGCCUUCGGGUUGUAAAGCCCUGUCAUGCGGAAAGAACGACCCUGUGACGCAUACUCACAGGGAGUGACGGUACCGCAGGAGGAAGCACCGGCUAACUCCGUGCCAGCAGCCGCGGUAAUACGGAGGGUGCAAGCGUUGUUCGGAAUUAUUGGGCGUAAAGGGCGCGUAGGCGGUAAUGUAAGUCAGAUGUGAAAUACUCCGGCUCAACCAGAGAACAGCAUCUGAAACUGCAUAACUAGAGUACAGAAGAGGGAAACGGAAUUCCCGGUGUAGAGGUGAAAUUCGUAGAUAUCGGGAGGAACACCAGUGGCGAAGGCGGUUUCCUGGUCUGAUACUGACG
RNAcentral lists this ribosomal RNA (399 nucleotides) under uncultured bacterium. RNAcentral's name for it is "bacterial SSU rRNA". It matches the Rfam family "Bacterial small subunit ribosomal RNA", at positions 355 to 745 of the family's 1533-position model. The record is from RNAcentral.